GGUGAAAGGUCUACUAACUAUCAGAACUUUCUUUAUUGAUUCCAAUAAGAUUAAUGAGGCCAAAUAUUGAACUAGGGAAUUGUAGGGCUUUACCCCGAAGGGAGCCCUUCCAGAAAUUCUCGAAGGCCCUAGACAAGCUUAGGCCUAGGAGGGGGUUUGGAAAUAGUUUUCAACCAGCAAUAGACGCGCCUCGGUUAAGACCUCAUUAGCUGCGUCAUUGCCCCAAGCGCAAAGAUACUU
Molecule: small RNA, 240 nt
Filed under: Arabidopsis thaliana (thale cress)
Lineage: Eukaryota; Viridiplantae; Streptophyta; Magnoliopsida; Brassicales; Brassicaceae
Description: ATSL257790
Source: RNAcentral